CAGUCGCCACGGGAACACGGAGGAUCCAAGCGUUAUCCGGAAUCAUUGGGUUUAAAGGGUCCGUAGGCGGUCUUGUAAGUCAGUGGUGAAAGCCCAUCGCUCAACGGUGGAACGGCCAUUGAUACUGCAGGACUUGAAUUAUUGGGAAGUAACUAGAAUAUGUAGUGUAGCGGUGAAAUGCUUAGAGAUUACAUGGAAUACCAAUUGCGAAGGCAGGUUACUACCAAUUGAUUGACGCUGAUGGACGAAAGCGUGGGUAGCGAACAGGAUUAGAGACCCCCGUAGUCCCUGUCUCUUAUAC
RNAcentral lists this ribosomal RNA (301 nucleotides) under uncultured bacterium. RNAcentral's name for it is "partial 16S ribosomal RNA". It matches the Rfam family "Bacterial small subunit ribosomal RNA", at positions 509 to 807 of the family's 1533-position model. The record is from RNAcentral.